GACUUGUCGUGUGUACUCCAUUUGUUAGAGUCUGCAUUUCAUUUGCAUUGCAUUCGCAUUGUGUUGCGCAUAUCGAGGAAUUUCCAUUCAUGUGGAGAAUUGUUGGAUAUUGGUUAAAUAAAUCGAGAAUUGAAAAUCGAUUAAAAUGACUUCGUAUCGACUUCUUCGAAAAUCAAUAUCGGAUGAAUGAGAAAUUACGAAAAAGGACGAAAAUCAGUGAAUAGACACAUUUUCAUAAAGGUGCAUUGUUUGGAAAGGGUGCAUGGUUUGGCCUCAACCAUUUCGUCCACACCCUUUCAUGGUCUAUAAAUAGGACCCUUUGGGUGUCUUAUUUCUCACAAUUUGAUAUGCAAAACAUCUCUCAUCCUCUCUUCUAUCCAAAAUCAAAAUCAUUUCAUUUAUUUUGAUUUUCCUUCUUUUCAUCCUUGGAGUACAUAAGCCUAAAUUUGGUUCGUUGUACUUGUGUUUUGGAGUUUUACAAACACAAGUAUAGCCGUUGUAUUUUGGGAGUCGAUUGUCGAAAUCCGUAGGCACCGUUGCGGGGCAAAUUCGACUUAAGGACAAAGAGUCCAACUCUUACCUCGACUUUGUCCCUACUCUCUUCUUCUUCUUGUUUGUGUUUUCUUUGCCGUUACUCUGUCCAAUUUUCGGCACGGAUUUACAAACCAUCAUUAUACUUAUUUUGGCGUCACUAUUCACAAAAUUCAUCCAACAGUACUGUUCGAAAUCGAACCCAGCAAAACAAUCUUCCUCUUUCUGCUGAUUCUGCCCCUGUGCGUGAGAAAAGAAGAUAAAUUAGGGGAAAAACAGUGAAGGAAACAUUCAAGGAAGGAGACGUCUUGUUUGUGCGGGGAUUCUGGGGAAGUGGAGUAAAAACUAAGGACCACGCUAUUCUGGGAAACGAUAUUGGUGGAGAUGUAAUCGGACUUCUUGAGUUUGGGCAGCAGAUGAGAAGCACACAAAAUCGUUCCCAGCUGGGCUUACUUGCCAAAAAUGUGUGCUUCUCCCAGUGAGCCUCUCUGCAAAUCGAACCCAAAAAAUAUGGGUUUCUAGGCCGGAGUUACUGGAGUCGACGUCGGGCUUCUAGAUGAUGACGGGCUUCGGGUUGGAAAUGGCCGGCUUCUUGGUCGUCUUCUAUUUUGGGGGAAAAACAAGUGAAAGUGGUGAACCCAACUAAAAAGCAUGGGUAGUUCAGUAGUUGCGUGAAAAAAUGGAAGAAGCCUGAGAGAAGAAAUGGAAAAACAGACGGUUGUGUUAAUAACAAUAGAAAGGAGUCAGACAAGUGUGAUUUGCUCAGUGCAUUUACUACAUAAAUGGAAGAGAGAGGUAAUGUUUAUGAGAGAUAAACACUCAAAUUGAAACGAUUGUUGCGUGAAUAACAAUAGAAAGGGGUAAGAGAAAUGUCCUUUACCCCAUUAUAUCUCAUUAAAUUUCAUUUUCUGCACUUCUUCAACUGACUUUAUUGACU
RNAcentral lists this long non-coding RNA (1468 nucleotides) under Olea europaea subsp. europaea. The record is from RNAcentral. Lineage: Eukaryota; Viridiplantae; Streptophyta; Magnoliopsida; Lamiales; Oleaceae.